RNAcentral lists this ribosomal RNA (470 nucleotides) under uncultured Methylobacterium sp. Its description in RNAcentral is "bacterial SSU rRNA". It matches the Rfam family "Bacterial small subunit ribosomal RNA", at positions 8 to 524 of the family's 1533-position model. The record is from RNAcentral. Lineage: Bacteria; Pseudomonadati; Pseudomonadota; Alphaproteobacteria; Hyphomicrobiales; Methylobacteriaceae.
AGAGUUUGAUCCUGGCUCAGAGCGAACGCUGGCGGCAGGCUUAACACAUGCAAGUCGAGCGGACCUUUCGGGGUCAGCGGCGGACGGGUGAGUAACGCGUGGGAACGUGCCUUCUGGUCUGGAAUAACCCUGGGAAACUAGGGCUAAUACCGGAUACGCCCUUAUGGGGAAAGGUUUACUGCCAGAAGAUCGGCCCGCGUCUGAUUAGCUAGUUGGUGGGGUAACGGCCUACCAAGGCGACGAUCAGUAGCUGGUCUGAGAGGAUGAACAGCCACACUGGGACUGGGACACGGCCCAGACUCCUACGGGAGGCAGCAGUGGGGAAUAUUGGACAAUGGGGGAAACCCUGAUCCAGCAAUGCCGCGUGAGUGAAGAAGGCCUUAGGGUUGUAAAGCUCUUUCGCCCACGACGAUGAUGACGGUAGUGGGAGAAGAAGCCCCGGCUAACUCCGUGCCAGCAGCCGCGGUAAA